ACCAUCUCUUGUGGUAGGAUGUAAUGGUGGUGAUUUUUGAGAUGGAACUCAAAUAGUUUUUAACUUGCAUGUAAUAUUUAUUUUGAAAUCCAAAUAGUUUUCAUAGAUUUUACUUUCCCUUUUAUCAAAACAUGUUGGAAAGAGCACUGAUAAAGACAAGAGUAAAAGGGGUAAGUGCUUUCGUCUAUCUUGUUUGCUUUGUUUUGUUUGCUUCUUCUACCCUUUUUUUCUGCCUGAGAUUAAGAUGGGUAAUGAAAAUGGAAAAAAGGUGCAGCAGUUAGUAGAAGAUGGUACGUGAGUGGAUUAGUAAGGAUGUGAAGAUACAGGGGGUCACUAUUUGUAGAAAGGAGGUUGGGUUAACUUAAAUAGUACACCUGGAUUUUCUGUCUUUAAAUUGUAUAAAUCUUCAUUCAAAGAUUUCAAAGAAAUAUUUUUAAAGGUGAAGAGUGCCAAGGAUGUGUUUUUGUUUUAUUUGGAUGAAGAUCUGGCUGAAAAAUUUCCCUUGUUUUAGUGUUCCCAACUCCAGCACAUUUUGGAUCCUGAGAAAGUUAAUGUGUUCCCAACCCCAGCACAUUCUAGGUCCUGAGAAAAUUAGUGUGAGGAAUAGUGUAUAAUUGAAUAUUUGGUUGAAGUUGUGGAUAGGACAAAUUUGAUAUCGGUAUCUAAUUUGCUUCCUUGGGAAGACAAUAAACAAUCUGUAAUAGAUUAUUUGGGUAAGAAUUUAUAAAAAUACAAGUAGUUAGGGAUCAUGUAUUCUGGUAAUUUCUUGAUUUUGCUUUGUGUAUUUUUGUCAAGUGGAAAGUAUCCAAGAAUCUCGGCUGCGAGCCUUAAAACUCGGUUUAAGAGUAAGAAUUUGGAAAAGGAGGGUUCAUCAUCAAAUCCUGAUAAGGGAGGUGUAGAGGGUGAGGUGAACUAACCUCGUCAAAGACGGUGAAGGAUUAUUUUUAAGAAAAGAAAGUCAAACUUUAUCGAUGUUGACGUAUCCAACGAUGUGUCUGAGAAAGGUAAAGAUAUACCACCGGAAAAAAUUACUGCUUUUGUGGAUAAUCAAAAGAGGCUUUAUGGGUUUGCCGAGGAUAUUGAUGGUUCUUCGAUUUGGGGUAAGAAUUUCCCUUUUUUGGUCGUUACGGAUGAGGUAAGCCAGUCGUCGGCGGAUGUGACCUUGGCUAAUGAAGUUGGAGACAUAGUCAUUGAUCAGUAUAUGCAGGUGAUCGGUUUGCAUUUAGCCAGUUUAGGUCGGAGUCAGGAAGUAAAGCAUAAGAAAUUGUUGGGCCUAGCCGAAGAGCCAAACAAACUAAAGGAAAAGUUGAAUCUGAAGAAGAAUCUAAUUGUGGAGUUAGAAGCUAAACUUGUAGAAAAAAAAGAAAGAGUUAGAGGUUGUGAAGAGUAAUUAUGAAAAGGAGUGCGAGUUGCUGAAGAAAAAAGAUGGUGAUUUGUCUAGCAUGAAGGAUCAGGUUAUCGAGGUUAAUAUGAAAUUGAAGGAUUUGGAAAAAAGUAAGCAAGCUAAAAUUUUGGAUGCUUUCGCAGAGGAUUUUGAGCAUGCUGUUAUGCAAUCCAAGUUUUUAGUACUGGACCGAGACCUUUCUCAAAUGGAGCCUAGAAAAAUAGUUUGUGAUAGAGCUUUGAUUGAUGAUAAAGAGGGAGUCGAGGAAGGACACGAAAAUUUGGGACAAGAUGUAUGACUUUUCUUAUUAUGUGAAUUUUGGGUUUUGAAUGUUGGGUUUUGGAUUUGAACUUGUUUAUCAUCAGUUUAAGGAUGAUAAGGACUAUUUAUAUUGUGCCAAGUUUGAUUGGCCUUUUGCUAACUGUUUUGGUUAUAUGAAUUUUGUACA
Molecule: non-coding RNA, 1832 nt
Organism: Arachis ipaensis
Lineage: Eukaryota; Viridiplantae; Streptophyta; Magnoliopsida; Fabales; Fabaceae
Source: RefSeq, a predicted model, not a curated record